Molecule: ribosomal RNA, 599 nt
Filed under: uncultured bacterium
Lineage: Bacteria
Description: bacterial SSU rRNA
Rfam family: Bacterial small subunit ribosomal RNA
Source: RNAcentral
CGGGAGGCAGCAGUGGGGAAUAUUGGACAAUGGGCGCAAGCCUGAUCCAGCCAUGCCGCGUGUGUGAAGAAGGUCUUCGGAUUGUAAAGCACUUUAAGUUGGGAGGAAGGGUUGUAGCCUAAUACGCUGCAACUUUGACGUUACCGACAGAAUAAGCACCGGCUAACUCUGUGCCAGCAGCCGCGGUAAUACAGAGGGUGCAAGCGUUAAUCGGAAUUACUGGGCGUAAAGCGCGCGUAGGUGGCGAAGUAAGAUGGGUGUGAAAUCCCCGGGCUCAACCUGGGAACUGCAUCCAUAACUGCUUGGCUAGAGUACGGUAGAGGGUAGUGGAAUUUCCUGUGUAGCGGUGAAAUGCGUAGAUAUAGGAAGGAACACCAGUGGCGAAGGCGACUACCUGGACUGAUACUGACACUGAGGUGCGAAAGCGUGGGGAGCAAACAGGAUUAGAUACCCUGGUAGUCCACGCCGUAAACGAUGUCAACUAGCCGUUGGGAACCUUGAGUUCUUAGUGGCGCAGCUAACGCACUAAGUUGACCGCCUGGGGAGUACGGUCGCAAGAUUAAAACUCAAAUGAAUUGACGGGGACCCGCACAAAAGGG